CCUACGGGGGGCUGCAGUGGGGAAUAUUGGACAAUGGGGGGAACCCUGAUCCAGCCAUGCCGCGUGUGUGAAGAAGGCCCUCGGGUUGUAAAGCACUUUCAGUGAGGAAGAACGCCUGGUGGUUAAUACCCAUCAGGAAAGACAUCACUCACAGAAGAAGCACCGGCUAACUCCGUGCCAGCAGCCGCGGUAAUACGGAGGGUGCGAGCGUUAAUCGGAAUUACUGGGCGUAAAGCGCGCGUAGGUGGCUUGAUAAGCCGGUUGUGAAAGCCCCGGGCUCAACCUGGGAACGGCAUCCGGAACUGUCAAGCUAGAGUGCAGGAGAGGAAGGUAGAAUUCCCGUUGUAGCGGUGAAAUGCGUAGAGAUCGGGAGGAAUACCAGUGGCGAAGGCGGCCUUCUGAACUGACACUGACACUGAGGUGCGAAAGCGUGGGUAGCAAACAGGAUUAGAUACCCGGGUAGUC
This 465-nucleotide ribosomal RNA is filed under the name Vreelandella stevensii. Its description in RNAcentral is "partial 16S ribosomal RNA". It matches the Rfam family "Bacterial small subunit ribosomal RNA", at positions 338 to 795 of the family's 1533-position model. The record is from RNAcentral. Lineage: Bacteria; Pseudomonadati; Pseudomonadota; Gammaproteobacteria; Oceanospirillales; Halomonadaceae.